RNAcentral lists this ribosomal RNA (685 nucleotides) under Anomala sp. 2 DA-2006. Its description in RNAcentral is "eukaryotic LSU rRNA". It matches the Rfam family "Eukaryotic large subunit ribosomal RNA", at positions 644 to 1286 of the family's 3401-position model. The record is from RNAcentral. Lineage: Eukaryota; Metazoa; Arthropoda; Insecta; Coleoptera; Scarabaeidae. RNAcentral also lists the same sequence under 1 other name.
GGGACCCGUCUUGAAACACGGACCAAGGAGUCUAGCAUGUGCGCGAGUCAUUGGGACUCUAACGAAACCUAAAGGCGUAAUGAAAGUGAAGGUUCGCCCCGCGCGAACCGAGGGAGGAUGGACGGUCGUACGUGGCCGUCCCGCACUCCCUGGGCGUCUCGUUCUCAUCGCGAGAAGAGGCGCACCAAGAGCGUACACGCUGGGACCCGAAAGAUGGUGAACUAUGCCUGGUCAGGACGAAGUCAGGGGAAACCCUGAUGGAGGUCCGUAGCGAUUCUGACGUGCAAAUCGAUCGUCGGAACUGGGUAUAGGGGCGAAAGACUAAUCGAACCAUCUAGUAGCUGGUUCCCUCCGAAGUUUCCCUCAGGAUAGCUGGCGCUCGCUUCUCGCGAGUCUCAUUCGGUAAAGCGAAUGAUUAGAGGCAUUGGGGUCGAAACGGCCUCAACCUAUUCUCAAACUUUAAAUGGGUGAGAUCUCCGGCUUGCUUGAACUGUGAAGCCGCGAGAUAUCGGAUCAGAGUGCCAAGUGGGCCACUUUUGGUAAGCAGAACUGGCGCUGUGGGAUGAACCAAACGCCGAGUUAAAGCGCCUAAAUCGACGCUUAUGGGAUACCAUGAAAGGCGUUGGUAACUUAAGACAGCAGGACGGUGGCCAUGGAAGUCGGAAUCCGCUAAGGAGUGUGUAAA